UACGGAGGGUGCAAGCGUUGUUCGGAAUUACUGGGCGUAAAGCGCACGUAGGCGGGUUUGUAAGUCGAUUGUGAAAUCCCCGAGCUUAACUUGGGAAUUGCAGUCGAAACUGCAGAUCUUGAAUGUUUGAGAGGAUGGCGGAAUUCCUGGAGUAGUAGUGAAAUACGUAGAUAUCAGGAAGAACACCAGAGGCGAAGGCGGCUAUCUGGCAAUACAUUGACGCUGAGGUGCGAAAGCGUGGGGAGCAAACAGG
Molecule: ribosomal RNA, 253 nt
Filed under: uncultured bacterium
Lineage: Bacteria
Description: partial 16S ribosomal RNA
Rfam family: Bacterial small subunit ribosomal RNA
Source: RNAcentral